CCAUCACUGAGGACAACCAAUAGCGACGUUGGAAGGCGGGGCCAAAAUAACCGUUGGCGAAGACCCCCUAGCUCGUGCUGGGCCCGCCAGCCUUAACACUGUGGGUGACACAAUGGAUUUACCUGGCGGCUUCGCGGACGGUUCCUCCCGGUGACGAGGGCAGAUGGCGUCGCCCUUUCCUACGAUCUCAACAGAUGGCCUGUGAUGGAAAAGUCCAGUACUGACCAGCCUAGGGGCCUGUGAUGAGAAGAGAGUGAAACCAGAACCAAGGGUGCAGAACCACCAGACAAUAGCAGGCGGCAUCGAGGUGGACUGGACUGGACUGGACUGGACUGGACUGUCGAAAGCAACUUUGGGAAUGCAGGAAUCGUGGGAGUGCUGCUCAGGUGUCUCUUUUCCUAGAAUGAGAGAGAACGUCGAUCAGAAGGGCCAGCAAGUUGCCUCUGGAGUGACUCAAGCAUCCUCUUAGAAAUCACCCCUCUUUAAUCCUGCUGUGAAGCUAGAGGCAUCCCAGGAGCCCAGGCUUUGCUUAACCUCAGCCACCUUCUGUUCGGAUGGACUGGGAUGGCUCAGCAGCCAGCACCUGGAAGGACUUUCUAGGGCGUGUGCACUAUGCAGGCCAGAGGGUGCCUGUCCACAGGCAGUGCCAGAGGUCUCCACUCUAUGCUUUUCCAGGUCAACCACUUGUGUUCUGUGUGGGGAGUAAUUCACUGACAUUCAGGUGAAGGCAUUUGAGAAACUGAGAGGUGGGGAAGUGUGCUGACGAAAAAUGCACUAUUGUAAAAUGUUUUCAAAGAGCACUAAGCUGCCUUGUCACUUAGCAUUACAAGGCAUAUACCCAAAGAGUUUUUCCUCUUCCUGGGUUAGGAAUCGUAAUGUACCGUAAUUUCUUGGUGUGAAAUAUUAUACCUCAAACUCCCAUUUUCCUGAACCGUUUGUCGCUGCCCCUUAUUUAUACGGGUAAUAGAAAAAGGAUGGAUACUGUGGCAAGGUUUUGGAAAUGGAGUAUGGGCCUUGUUACACCGAUUCCCCCUCACAUGCAGACAGUAGUGUGAUUGGCACAGCAACAGUCACUUUGAGAGGCGUGUCAGUCACCGGGACAGACUGAUGACUCGGUGGUUAUGAUGGUGGUCAUGAUGCAAGUCGGAAAAGAGCUGCCCCUCCCACAGACAGAGAGCUUCACAGAGCCAAGGUCCGUGCUCACUUCUUUUCUGUGACUUCUUACCUAGUCCCCCCAAGCCCUGAAAACUUAAGUACUACUGCUGUCUACGUUUUGCAGAACUGUUGAUGCUAGAGAGAUGGGUCAUUACCUUGUCAAAGCAAUAGCCGAAAAUUCGGGACCCGGGCAACUCAAAUGGGAGUUCAGCUGGCGCUUUCCCGGUGGCGUUACUCCCUAAGCUGUGAGCACCUUCUUAGGGAAUGUUUUCAUGUCUGACGUGGUUACCCAGAUCUCUGUGUCUUCGUUUCUUUCCCAUAUGCUUAUGUACACGAUACAGAUUUGUAUGCGAAGUGGUGGACAUACCUGGUACGGAAACAGGCCUAGACGUAAAUGGCUUUCAAGACUCAUUUGCCAGGCACUUUGAUUUUAGGCUGCUUUAAAGAAAAGUAUAGAGUUUAGAGUGUCAGAAAGGGACAGGGACUUCCCUGAUGAGAAAAGAUAGGAUGACGGCCUUGAGAUGGCCAUCCCGUCAGGGGCCUAACACCCAGAGGAGGGGAGAGGCCUAUGAAGAAUGGCUCUCUGUUGGAUGCUCUCAGAGAAUGAGCAUGGGAUAGAAAAGACAGCCCUGAAAGGCAAGGGGGUCAUUGCCUGGCUCAGGUGUCUCCUGCUCACUGCCACAGCUCGUGUCAGCCCUGACUGAAUAGGGAAAUUCUACUUGGCCAUACCUGUCUCCUGCUCAUUGCCACAUCCCUGAUACUAGCCGGGUUAGACAUAACUGGGGGAGAGAAGACCACGGCUCACGUCUUUGAGUGUGAUUUGAGACCACAGGGCCCUCAGGCAAAGAUGAGGGUGUUGAUGGGCAGUUGCAUUGCCUCGGAGGCUCUCAGCCUACCCUCAAGGAAAAGUUGUGGUUCUAGGCGUCAACUGCACAUGGUUUAGGACUAUGGGAAAAGCAGCUGUGGGAAAAGCAGCUGUGGGAGAUGCAGCUGUACAGGGCUUUUUGAGGGGGGAGCAGUACAGUGGAUUCCCCAUGACUCUCCACCGUCAGAAAUGCAGCGGACGCAUGGUGGACCCCAGGAGAUUUGGGGGCACACUGAGGGCAUCAGGAAACAGGAAGGGCAGGAAAGGGGACCGCUGUCAGUGUUGUGAUGGGCAUUGCGGGUUCAGGCUGUGUGUACUGUUCCCAGUCCCCACUCUCCCCGGCUACCUGUUGGCUGGCACAGCUGGGCGGAGUGUUAGCAAGGCCCGUGGAUUUAUAUAACAUGAGAAACAGGCCUUUUGGGAACUUCAGACCUUUAUGGGGUGGGCAGAUCCUCAUUUUCUGUCUGUCCGUGCAGGAUGGGCUUUCUCUGCAGGCGACGCUUUGCUGCAUCUUCCUGCUUCCGUGUACUGUUUUGUAUUGCUUGUCAUGCUGUAUGUUGCUCAAAGGCAAAUAAUGUGAGGGAUUUGAGGAAAGCCGGGCUUGCUUCUGUUGACAGUGUGCGUCAUGAGCCAAAGCAUUUUUCAGAUUUUUGAUAUUCAUGUCCCUUUUCCGGCUCGCGUGGCCCUGGCUUUGAUGGAAAUUUCUCUUUCCGGUGCUCAUCAGGUUCAGGCUGAGAUUAUGGUUGUGGCUGUUCAGUCGGGAGACAAACCCUUCCUGUCACUAGCGGUUUCAUCUACGCUGCUUGUGAACCACAGGACCUCAGAGAUCCUUGGUGGAGAUGGGGACUGAGACCCCCCGUUAUGGACCUUUAGUGUGUCCAUCUUUCCAACAGAGGGUGAAAAGACUGUGCAGGUUGUGUGCACGCGCGUGCAAUGGAACAGCCUUCUGUAGAUGGGCCUGCAUUUGAACUUGGCUUCUCAUUCCACUAGACUGUGUGCGAACACAGCUUCAAAUGAGGGCUUCAAAUGUCUGCUUCAAAUGAGGGCCUCCCAGUUCACAUUUAGGUGGGGCUGCCGGGCUUCCCUGGCCUCCUGUUCUCGCAGAACUACUCUACCGCUUCUUCGCCAGUUGGCAAAAGAGCAUGGGUAGGCACGUUUUCAUUGAACCCUACGUGGAUGCACUGCUCUCGGUCACCCUCAGUCAGAUCAAGUAGCCGUGCAGAAUGGCGCAAGGCCUUGAUGGACUGCUGUCUGCUGUGAGUGUGGAGAGUACAGGCUGUUCAGUUGGGGUGCUGACCCUCAAGGUGGGCAAUAUGCCUCCUACCAGGAGCCAGCCACUUGGCUCUUCCUCCUGUGUCCUGAACUGAUGUCUCAGACCAUGGGGUUAGAGUGAGCUUAGAACCUCCAGUGAUUGUGGGUGUGUGGUCCUCUCACAUGCUCUUUUAUUAAGGGGGCACUGGUGGGAUUCCUUCUGCUGGGGGGAUGGGUAAUGCCAUUUACAGCUUCACUACCUGUGCUUUCUGAUUCUUCUCUUGGUAUGCAAUACUUUGUGUUCAAGAUGUUUAAGGCUAACCCAUAAUCCAAAUGUUUCUGAAUCUCAAAGUAUUGCAGCUGUUCUACAGGGGCCAUGAACUUCACCUGGAAGAUGGCACUUGAGGAGCGGCCCCAGGGCUUAGCUAUAUGUUGACAGAAGGGAUUGGCCUCUGGGGUCUGUGGUUUGGGCAUUUGUUUGGAUGUGGGGGUGCUUUCUUGGUCCACAGGAUGGGUUCUUGUGACAUUUUAGACAAACAAGGUCUUUGAAAUGGAAUAUGUACCUUUUCAUAUCUUUGUUGUAGGUACCUGUGUGUACCACGUCCCCAUCCUUUUAUCCGCUGGUUGUUACCUGGGUUGUUUCCACAGCCUGGCUAUUGAAAAGAACGAUAGUGCUGUUUUUCAUAUUUUGAGAAGGCCCCGGCUCUUUCCCUUAGUGGCCUUACCAGUGUACAGAGGAGAACACAUCGUGAACUGAAAAAUGGAUUCAUGACUGGUUCUCUCCCCACUUUUGAUUGUCGGUUCUUUUCAGGAGAAGCACUGUAGAUGGGAGAGUCUCCAAAGGGAGAGGGCUUUGAUAUGGCCAUCCCUUCCGGGGCUAACACUCAGAGGUGGGGAGAGGCCUAGGAAGAAUGGCUCUCUGCCGUAUGGUCUCGGAGCAGGAGCGUCGGAUAGGCUAAGCCGGCCCUGAAGGUGACGGGGGAAAUUCUCUGUGCCAGGUGUCUCCUGCUCACUGCACACUCCUGUCAGCCCCGACGGAAAUGGGAAUUUCUGUUUCCUAGGAGUGACUCCUGCUCAUUGCCACAUCCCUGGAACACCUGGGGUUGACAUCAAUGAGGGACGGAAGACCACGGCUCACAUCUUUGCGUAUGACGUGAGAACGUGGCGCCCUCUUCAAAGUGGAGAGUCCUGAUGGGUGAUGUUCCUUGCUUUACAGCAGCUUUGGGAGUUCUGGCUAUGGUGUUGGGAGUCUUUGUUCUUUUUGCCUCCUGCUGUGUACUGCCUUCCCCCAUGAGCCAUGUAGUGUUUUCUCCGAGGGGAUUCUUCACGAGUCUCCUCGAAGGCAUCUGCUCUGUUUCUGGGUGGUAUAACCGCCCACCCUUGCAUAGUGGUAGCGGGCUGUGUCGCACAGAGUCACAGAGGAAUGUGAGCUGAGUUUGCUGAAAACUCUUUCCACAUACUGCAUCUGUGCAGUAUGUGCACAGACACUCCUUCUUGAACACUCCCAAGUCACAAGUGUCUGAUGACAAAUUCCUAGAGGAAGCACACGCUGAACUUGGCAGCCUCUAGGGUUUGAGGACCUUGGGGUUCUGGGGAGAAAAUUGGCCCAGGCCUGUUGCCGGGCGUGUGUGCUCUGGCACAAAUGUCCCAGCAGUGUGACGUGCUGUUCACAGAGCGGAGGCAUGUGGCAAUCAUCAGAAAUCCAGAAGUCUGGCAGGGAAUACAGUUGGAGCAUUUGCCGAUUUGUUGUCAGCACGCACCUGCUGCCCUUCCUCUGCACCUUGGUGGGUAGAGAAACGUGUGGGCCUUGUUUGGGACAUUGCUAGUCACUGGCCCUGCUUGCAUCUUCAGGAGCAUGUGCAGAUGGGCCUGAUUCUCAGGAACUUCCCUGGUCAAGCCACCAGGCAGCAGGAUGAGCCUCCCAGUCCUCUUGCUGGAGAGGACUAGGCUCUCCUCACAGGCUCUAGCUUUCCCUUCUCCCUUUUGUCAGCCAGAAGUUAUGGAUGCUUUGUCCCAACCAAUCCCCAAAUCACAGCACCCUAGGGCAAGUGCAUUCUUCUCAAGAAUGGACAAAGCCUUGGGGCCCCUAAGUGGCUGUAGUUGCUGGAAGUCCUUGACCACAAGGUGUGGAUGCUUGGUGUUCCAGCUCUUCUGUGAUUCUUUCUUGGCAUUGGGCAGUUGCAUUGCCUCAGUGGCUCUCAGCCUACCCUCAAGGAAAAGUCGUUGUGCUAGGCGCCAACUGCACAUGGCUAGGACUAUGGGAAAUGCAGCUGUGGGAGACCCAGCAGAGGGAGAUGCAGCAGUAGAGGGUUGUUUGAGGGGGGAGCGGUGCCGUAGAUCCCCAUUACUACCACUAGUCACAAAUGCAGUGGACUCAUUGUGGACCCCCCAAGAUAGGGGGGGCACUCUGAGGGCAUCAGGAAACAGGAAGGGCAGGAAAGGGGACCGCUGUCAGUGUUGCGAUGGGCAUUGUGGGUUCAGGCUGUGUGUACUGUUCCCAGUCCCCACUCUCCCCGGCUACCUGUUGGCCGGCACAGCUGGGCGCAGAGUUAGCAAGGCCCAUGGAUGUAUAAGACAUGAGAAACAGGCCCUUUGCGAACUUCAGAACUUCAUGGGGUGGGAAGAUCCUCAUUUUCUGCCUGUCCAUGCAGGAUGGGCUUUCUCUGCAGGCGACACUUUGCUGCAUCUUCCUGCUUCCGUGUAGUGUUCUGUAUUGCUUGUCAUGCUGUAUGUUGCUCAAAGGCAAAUAAUGUGAGGGAUUUGAGGAAAGCCGGGCUUGCUUCUGUUGACAGAGUGCGUCAUGAGCCAAAGCAUUUUUCAGAUUUUUGAUAUUCAUGUCCCUUUACCGGCUCCUGCGGCGCUGGCUUUGAUAUAACUUUCUCUUUCUAGUGCUCAGCAGCUUCUAGCUGAGUUUGUGGUUAUGGCUCUUGAGUUGGGAACCAUCCCCGUAUUCAAGACCUUUUGCGGCUUGUGUGGCCCUGGCUUUGAUGGAACUUUCUCUUUCCAGUGCUCAUCAGAUUCAGGCUGCGUUUCUGCUUAUGCUAUUGAGUUGGGAGACGAUCCCUGUAUUCAUGUAGCUCCUCCGGCUCGAGGGGGCCUAGCUUUGAUGGAACUUACUCUUUUUCCGGUGCUCAUCAGAUUGAGGCUGAAAUUAUGGUUGUGGCUGUUGAGUUGGGAGACAAACCCUCCCAGGCACCAGAGGUUUCAUCUCUGCUGCUUGUGAACCACAGGACCUCAGAGAUCCUUGGUGGAGGUGAGGACUGAGACCCGCCAUUAUGGACCUUUAGUGUGUCCAUCUUUCCAACAGAGGGUGAAAAGCCUGUGCUGGCUGUGUGUACGCGCGUGCAAUGGAACAGCCUUCUGUAGAUGGGCCUGGAUUUGAAUUUGGCUUCUCAUUCCACUAGACUGUGUGCGAACACAGCAUGGAGAUGACUGUCUGCUUCAAAUGAGGGCCUCCCAGUUCACAUUUAGGUGGGGCUGCCGGGCUUCCCUGGCCUCCUGUUCUCGCAGAACUACUCUACCGCUUCUUCGCCAGUUGGCAAAAGAGCAUGGGUAGGCACGUUUUCAUUGAACCCUACGUGGAUGCACUGCUCUCGGUCGCCCUCAGUCAGAUCAAGUAGCCGUGCAGAAUGGCGCAAGGCCUUGAUGGACUGCUGUCUGCUGUGAGUGUGGAGAGUACAGGCUGUUCAGUUGGGGUGCUGACCCUCAAGGUGCGCAAUAUGCCUCCUACCAGGAGCCAGCCACUUGGCUCUUCCUCCUGUGUC
Talpa occidentalis (Iberian mole) is the source of this 7035-nucleotide long non-coding RNA. RefSeq lists it as uncharacterized. The transcript is spliced from 4 exons. Lineage: Eukaryota; Metazoa; Chordata; Mammalia; Eulipotyphla; Talpidae. The record is from RefSeq and is a predicted model, not a curated record.